GUGAGGGAGGGGGUGACUAGUGACAGAAUGAGGGAGGGGGUGACUAGUGACAGAGGAAGAUGGUGAUUAGUGACAGAGUGAGGGAGGUGGUGACUGUCACUAGUCAACCCAUCCUUCCCUCUGUCACUAGUCACCCACUCCCGCACGCUGUCACUGUGUCACCCCAUCCCUCCCUCUGUCACUAGUCACCCUCUCCCUCUGUCACUAGUCCCCCUCUCCCUCUGUCACUAGUCACCCUCUCCCUCAC
RNAcentral lists this small RNA (247 nucleotides) under Pelobates cultripes (western spadefoot toad). Lineage: Eukaryota; Metazoa; Chordata; Amphibia; Anura; Pelobatidae. The record is from RNAcentral.